AUCCUACGGGACGCAGCAGUGGGGAAUAUUGGGCAAUGGGCGCAAGCCUGACCCAGCAACGCCGCGUGAAGGAAGAAGGCUUUCGGGUUGUAAACUUCUUUUGUCAGGGACGAAGCAAGUGACGGUACCUGACGAAUAAGCCACGGCUAACUACGUGCCUGCAGCCGCGGUAAUACGUAGGUGGCAAGCGUUAUCCGGAUUUACUGGGUGUAAAGGGCGUGUAGGCGGGACUGCAAGUCAGAUGUGAAAAUUAUGGGCUCAACCCAUAACCUGCAUUUGAAACUGUAGUUCUUGAGUGAUGGAGA
Molecule: ribosomal RNA, 305 nt
Filed under: uncultured bacterium
Lineage: Bacteria
Description: bacterial SSU rRNA
Rfam family: Bacterial small subunit ribosomal RNA
Source: RNAcentral